AUCCAGUUGACGAAUCCCAAAUAGGAUGAAACACGCGUCUAACUGGAU
Molecule: non-coding RNA, 48 nt
Filed under: Schistosoma margrebowiei
Lineage: Eukaryota; Metazoa; Platyhelminthes; Trematoda; Strigeidida; Schistosomatidae
Source: RNAcentral